RNAcentral lists this ribosomal RNA (465 nucleotides) under Vreelandella stevensii. RNAcentral describes it as "partial 16S ribosomal RNA". It matches the Rfam family "Bacterial small subunit ribosomal RNA", at positions 338 to 795 of the family's 1533-position model. The record is from RNAcentral. Lineage: Bacteria; Pseudomonadati; Pseudomonadota; Gammaproteobacteria; Oceanospirillales; Halomonadaceae.
CCUACGGGUGGCAGCAGUGGGGAAUAUUGGACAAUGGGGGGAACCCUGAUCCAGCCAUGCCGCGUGUGUGAAGAAGGCCCUCGGGUUGUAAAGCACUUUCAGUGAGGAAGAACGCCUGGUGGUUAAUACCCAUCAGGAAAGACAUCACUCACAGAAGAAGCACCGGCUAACUCCGUGCCAGCAGCCGCGGUAAUACGGAGGGUGCGAGCGUUAAUCGGAAUUACUGGGCGUAAAGCGCGCGUAGGUGGCUUGAUAAGCCGGUUGUGAAAGCCCCGGGCUCAACCUGGGAACGGCAUCCGGAACUGUCAAGCUAGAGUGCAGGAGAGGAAGGUAGAAUCCCCGGUGUAGCGGUGAAAUGCGUAGAGAUCGGGAGGAAUACCAGUGGCGAAGGCGGUCUUCUGGACUGACACUGACACUGAGGUGCGAAAGCGUGGGUAGCAAACAGGAUUAGAUACCCCUGUAGUC